Long non-coding RNA from Solanum dulcamara, 1828 nucleotides. RefSeq lists it as uncharacterized. Lineage: Eukaryota; Viridiplantae; Streptophyta; Magnoliopsida; Solanales; Solanaceae. The record is from RefSeq and is a predicted model, not a curated record. The transcript is spliced from 4 exons.
CUCAUGAAACUCCAAGUGUAGUUCAUAGGCUUUAUUCACUUUGUGAUGUUAAAACUACUGUAAUAGUUGAGUUAUUGCCUUUUAAGGCUUUUAGAUCAUGAACAAUAGUAUAUGUAAAGCCUGUUUCUUCUUAUUUUCGGAAUGUCUUAAGUAUAAAUGAAAUGGUAUAUGAUAUGAGGUGGAGGUAGUUCCAGUUAUAAUCUCCAAAUACGACUCGUGACCUUUAUUCACUACUUGAUGUUAGAAUUCUUAAAGUAGUUACACUACUACCCUCGAGUCUCUUAUCUGAUGAAUAAUAAUUGAAUGCAUCAGCUCCUAUUCCUAAGGUCUCUGCGAUGACAAACGUCUUUAAUUCUGUAAGCUGAUUAACCUUGUCUCAAUACAUGUCUACGAUUCCUGAAACUCUAGUUGAUAUAAUCCUUAACAAUAUUUAAAAGGUACUUAAGACGAUUACUACUUUGGUCUUCAGGUGAUGGUUCACUUGACUGUUUCAUUAAGUCUCAAACGAUGACUUAGUUGCAUAUGGUUUCUCACUACUCUACUCGUGCACACUGUAACACAUCUUCCUUCGAGUUCCAUAAGGGGGUCGGAAAUGCGGUCAUGCCUAGUUUUACUAUUCGUUCAUCGAGUCUCGGGCUGGCUAUAUAUAUAUGUAUGAAGUAUACGAGGAUAAAAUGACGUAUACGAUGAAGUGAAGCAUAUGAUGACGCCGUAUGUGAUAAUGCUCGUCACCGCAUCUCGGGCUGGACAUAUAGGUGAUAAUAUAAUGGGAAAUUAUGGAUCGGGCCGUACGUUCCUCGAUAUUAUUUUAAAAUAUGGAUUGGGCUGUACGUUCCUCGGCAUUAUUUUAAAAUAUAGAUCGGGUCGUACGUUCCUCGGCAUUAUUUUAAAUUAUAGAUCGGGCCAAACGUUCCUCGGUAUAUUUUACUAUGUGAUAAUGGCACUGAGUCCCAUAGUGGGUCAGGUGUGGUACGACAUGUACACUACUCUUUCACCGAGACCCUCACUAAAGGGCCAGAUAUGAUAGAUAGGCAUACAUAUGAAAACAUAGUGAUGUACUUGUAAUGUCUGAAAUGAUGUCGUAUACGAUGGUAUGAUGCCGUAUACGAUGAUAUGGUAACACCGAGUCUCACAGCGGGCCGGGAGUGAUAUGUGAGGAUAAUAUACAUGCCCUAUUUUCAUAAGAUGCAGGUAUAGUGAACUAUUAUUUGUCAUACUUGUUUCCUGCACUCCUAUUUCAGUUGUUAUCUCAGUUGUGUUAUGUUAUGCUUUAUAUACUUAGUACAUAUAUCGUACUAACCCUUCGUUCUUUGAGGGGUUGUGUUUUAUGCCCGCAGGUACAAAUGUUUAUUUUGGAGAUCCGCCAGCUUAGGAUUUCCACUCAGCGAUGUUGGAAGCGCUCCACUGUUUCGGAGCCUAAUUUUUGAUACUAGCCAUUUGAUAUAUAUGUUUGUUUAUUCAGGAGUACAGCGGGGGCCCUAUCCCGCCAUAUGAUACAGUUAACACUCUUAGAGGUUGAAGUUCCAUCAAGCUUUUGGGUGGUGAUGAAGUUGUUUUCCGCUCAUCGUCUUCAGUCUUGAUGCCAAGAUAGAGGGCAUAUUCAGUCGGCCGCGAAGAGACCUUGCUUAGAGGAGUGAUAGUAUUUGAGUUCAAGGUUGGGCUGUAGUAAUGAUUCUCCCAUCAGAGGGUUAGUGUGGCUUCCAUUCAUGGUGGGUUCGGAGUCGUGACAAUUAAGUAGGCAAAUAUUCAAUGGAAGCAUCAUCCGAUUGAGGAAGCUACUUGGAAAAUUGAGAAGGACAUGCAAGACAAGUAUUCCAGUUGUUUAACG